RNAcentral lists this transfer RNA (75 nucleotides) under Alphaproteobacteria bacterium. RNAcentral's name for it is "tRNA-Glu". It matches the Rfam family "tRNA". From Rfam's summary of the family: Transfer RNA (tRNA) molecules are approximately 80 nucleotides in length. Their secondary structure includes four short double-helical elements and three loops (D, anti-codon, and T loops). Further hydrogen bonds mediate the characteristic L-shaped molecular structure. tRNAs have two regions of fundamental functional importance: the anti-codon, which is responsible for specific mRNA codon recognition, and the 3' end, to which the tRNAs corresponding amino acid is attached (by aminoacyl-tRNA synthetases). tRNAs cope with the degeneracy of the genetic code in two manners: having more than one tRNA (with a specific anti-codon) for a particular amino acid; and 'wobble' base-pairing, i.e. permitting non-standard base-pairing at the 3rd anti-codon position. The record is from RNAcentral. Lineage: Bacteria; Pseudomonadati; Pseudomonadota; Alphaproteobacteria.
GUCCCCUUCGUCUAGCGGUUAGGACGCCAGCCUCUCACGCUGGAAACAGGGGUUCGAUUCCCCUAGGGGACGCCA